Molecule: non-coding RNA, 810 nt
Organism: Leptonychotes weddellii (Weddell seal)
Lineage: Eukaryota; Metazoa; Chordata; Mammalia; Carnivora; Phocidae
Source: RefSeq, a predicted model, not a curated record
UUACAUUAGAGAUGCUACUUUUUUUCUUUCUAUUCAGAUAUUUCCUGUGAGAAUCCACCCAAAGUGAAAAAUGCUAUUAUACUAAGUGAGAAGCCUACUUAUCUACCUGGUCAGAGCGCCCGUUAUGAAUGCAUCAAACCUUUUGAACUGUUUGGGGAAGUAGAAGUGAUAUGUUUAAAUGGGACCUGGACACAACCCCCUCAGUGUGCAGAUCCUAAAGGAAAAUGUGGGCCUCCUCCACCUAUUGACAAUGGAGACAUUACCUCAUUCCCAUCAUCAACAUAUGCUCCAGAAUCAUCAGUAGAGUACAAAUGCCAGUCCUUCUAUGUACUUCAGGGAUACAGGACCAUAAGAUGUAGAAAUGGACAGUGGUCAUCACCACCAAAAUGCUUAGAGGCCUGUACAGUAUCAGAAGACACAAUGAGAACACAUAAUAUACGAUUUCGAUGGUCUUCUGAGCCAAAACUUUAUUCUAAAAUGAGGGAUAUUAUUGAAUUUGAAUGUGUCCCUGGACAUCAUCAAAGGACCCCACCGCAUACAUUCCGAGCCACCUGUCGGGAAGGAAAACUGACGUAUCCUCAAUGUUGGUAAUACAGUGGUGAAGAUGCAGUCCUAAAAUUAAAAUAUACAUUUAGUCAGAAUUUUUCAUUAUCAAUCCAAUUCUCAGUUUAUUUUGUCAAAUAUUGUGUAACUUAUUUAUAUUCAUAAAUCAGAAGUUGUAUUAAAUAUUAUGUGGAUGAUGUAAUUAUAAUCAGAGAGAUGAAUAAAUCACUUCUUAAAAGCGCCUCAUUAAAACUUGGCAAACCAAAA